AUACUUACUUGAUAGGAGAGAUACCGCGAUCAGUUAGUUACGGCGGUAUUAUCAGGGAGAGGCCUACCCAUUGCACUACAGGGGGGAAAAGGUUGACCCUUGCGAUUUUCCCCAAAUGUGGGAAACUCGACUGUACAAUUUGAGGAGUGC
This 150-nucleotide small nuclear RNA is filed under the name Eptatretus burgeri (inshore hagfish). RNAcentral describes it as "U1 spliceosomal RNA (ENSEBUG00000000060.1)". It matches the Rfam family "U1 spliceosomal RNA". From Rfam's summary of the family: U1 is a small nuclear RNA (snRNA) component of the spliceosome (involved in pre-mRNA splicing). Its 5' end forms complementary base pairs with the 5' splice junction, thus defining the 5' donor site of an intron. There are significant differences in sequence and secondary structure between metazoan and yeast U1 snRNAs, the latter being much longer (568 nucleotides as compared to 164 nucleotides in human). Lineage: Eukaryota; Metazoa; Chordata; Myxini; Myxiniformes; Myxinidae. The record is from Rfam by way of RNAcentral.